RNAcentral lists this ribosomal RNA (497 nucleotides) under uncultured bacterium. Its description in RNAcentral is "partial 16S ribosomal RNA". It matches the Rfam family "Bacterial small subunit ribosomal RNA", at positions 28 to 507 of the family's 1533-position model. The record is from RNAcentral.
GAUGAACGCUGGCGGCGUGCCUAAUACAUGCAAGUCAAGCGAACAGAUGAGGAGCUUGCUCCUCUGACGUUAGCGGCGGACGGGUGAGUAACACGUGGAUAACCUACCUAUAAGACUAGGAUAACUUCGGGAAACCGGAGCUAAUACCGGAUAAUAUAUUGAACCGCAUGGUUCAAUAGUGAAAGACGGUUUUGCUGUCACUUAUAGAUGGAUCCGCGCCGCAUUAGCUAGUUGGUAAGGUAACGGCUUACCAAGGCAACGAUGCGUAGCCGACCUGAGAGGGUGAUCGGCCACACUGGAACUGAGACACGGUCCAGACUCCUACGGGAGGCAGCAGUAGGGAAUCUUCCGCAAUGGGCGAAAGCUUGACGGAGCAACGCCGCGUGAGUGAUGAAGGUCUUCGGAUCGUAAAACUCUGUUAUUAGGGAAGAACAAAUGUGUAAGUAACUAUGCACGUCUUGACGGUACCUAAUCAGAAAGCCACGGCUAACUACGUG